CCCUUGUUUGAUCCUGCUCAGAGCGAACGCUGGCGGCAGGCCUAACACAUGCAAGUCGAACGGACCCUUCGGGGUUAGUGGCGGACGGGUGAGUAACACAUGGGAACGUGCCUUUAGGUUCGGAAUAGCUCCUGGAAACGGGUGGUAAUGCCGAAUGUGCCCUUCGGGGGAAAGAUUUAUCGCCUUUAGAGCGGCCCGCGUCUGAUUAGCUAGUUGGUGAGGUAAUGGCUCACCAAGGCGACGAUCAGUAGCUGGUCUGAGAGGAUGACCAGCCACAUUGGGACUGAGACACGGCCCAAACUCCUACGGGAGGCAGCAGUGGGGAAUCUUGCGCAAUGGGCGAAAGCCUGACGCAGCCAUGCCGCGUGAAUGAUGAAGGUCUUAGGAUUGUAAAAUUCUUUCACCGGGGACGAUAAUGACGGUACCCGGAGAAGAAGCCCCGGCUAACUUCGUGCCAGCAGCCGCGGUAAUACGAAGGGGGCUAGCGUUGCUCGGAAUUACUGGGCGUAAAGGGCGCGUAGGCGGAUCUUUAAGUCAGGGGUGAAAUCCCGGGGCUCAACCCCGGAACUGCCUUUGAUGCUGGAAGUCUUGAGUAUGGUA
This 600-nucleotide ribosomal RNA is filed under the name uncultured bacterium. RNAcentral describes it as "bacterial SSU rRNA". It matches the Rfam family "Bacterial small subunit ribosomal RNA", at positions 1 to 653 of the family's 1533-position model. The record is from RNAcentral.